ACUAAUGGAAGGUGGUAGCAAGUAAACUGGAUAAGGAUAUGACGCGUCUUAUGCAUCAAGAAUACGCGUGGAGGAGGACUUCGUCAUUUGAACAAGCUACCACAAGAACCUCCUCUCCACUCUUCAUAUUCUGUAGUUGUGAUUAGGCUCUCUCCCCUCUCCUCUCCUCUCCUCUCCUCUCGUAGCCUUGUUCGGGUUCUGUUGCAGAGCUCAGGGUGACAUAAAAUCAUAAGAGCCUAAAGAAGCCUGAAAAUGGGUUACAUUGUGGUGAUAUCACUGCCUGUGAUACUGUUCAUCUUGAUUGUAGCAUUAGCAUUUUACCUUCUUGGAAGGGCACAGGGCCGAAGCCUAGCAGCAAGAGUUCCGCAUUAUGGGCCUCCAGCACCUCCAUUCCAAGCCCCGUCUCCACCUCAGGAUAAAUCAGCACAGGUUUAGAAUUAUGGUUCUUAUCAUGUGGCUGUGAAAAUUUGGGUGGUGGAAGUACAGCUCUCUCUAGUUGCAUUUUUGUGCUCAGAAUGGUUCUUAUGUGUAUGUGUAAUGUCUAUUGCAAGAUGAAAAUAAGGGUGACAAGAA
Molecule: long non-coding RNA, 573 nt
Organism: Juglans microcarpa x Juglans regia
Lineage: Eukaryota; Viridiplantae; Streptophyta; Magnoliopsida; Fagales; Juglandaceae
Exons: 2
Source: RefSeq, a predicted model, not a curated record